CCUACCCCUAAUAUAGCGUGGUGGGAAAGCCGAAGGAAUACUUAUUGAAGUAGUCACAACGACGACAUCACUAGCUAGGCCGCAUAUUCCAUCGCCAGAUCCGAACCAAGCGAAGUAAAGGAAGACGGGUGUCCUUUUCGUACACUGAGUGUGGUGGGUGAGUCUUCGUGCUGUGAAAACCUAAAAUUUUGACGUGGUGCUGUAUAUUGCUGUGGGUUGCUGUGUAUUGCCGUGUGUCCUGUCAGAUAAACCCCCGCCUUCACGCACUCCGUCGCGGGAGGACAAGGAGACUGCUGGUUCUAGCCUAGUUCAGUACAGUAUAUGUUGUGAGCGUGCUUCAGAUCUCCGGAGAUAGCACGGUACGCUGUGUUCAGCCCAGAGGUGGGAGCUAUUCAAAGCAAACUAACUGUGCUUUGUGUCCAAUCUGAUACCUGUGGAGAGAAAAGGAAAAAGAGAGUGAGUAACACAAGGAGAAACAGAGGAAACCUGUACUUACAGUACGCUGUGUUCAGCCCAGAGUUGAUACCUGUAGAGAGGAGGAGAGAGAGUGGAUAACGCGAGGAGAAAUAGAGCGAAACCUUUUUCUUACAGUACGCUGUGUCCAGCCCAGAGGUGAGAGCCAUUCAAAGCAAACUAACUGUGCUAUUGUGCCCAAGUUGAUACCUGUGGAGAGAAAAGGAGAGAGAGUGGGUAACACGAGGAGAGACCGAGGAAACCUGUACUUACGCCGCUGCCUGUGGAGAAAGAGAAAGCGAGUGAGCACCCAAGGAACGAACUGUGUGAACCAGUACUUACUGUGAGCUGCAAUCAGCGAAGAGGUGAAAGCCAUCCAAAGCAGAGUAACUGUAUUUUGUGUCCAAGUUGAUACCUGUAGAGAGGAGGAGAGAGAGUGGGUAACACGAGGAGAGACCGAGGAAACCUGUACUUACGCCGCUGCCUGUGGAGAAAGAGAAAGCGAGUGAGCACCCAAGGAACGAACUGUGUGAACUAGUACUUACUGUGAGCUGCAAUCAGCGAAGAGGUGAGAGCAAUACCAAGCCGAAUUAACUGUGCCUUUGCGUCCCAGCCGUUGCCUGUGGAGGAAGAGAAAGAGAGUGAGCACCCCGAGAACGAACUGUGUGAACCAGUACUUACCGUGAGUUGUAUUCAGCGAAGAGGAGGAAGAAGGAGGGCGCUACGGAUACCUAAGACUCUGGCCGGGCCCCGAGUCCCACGCCCCGGAUCCCCGUGGCCCCCUUGCUCCCUGACCUCUUCCCGGCCAUAGCCCAUCUGGAGGGCCGAGUCAGAGUUUAGUUUUAAUUGCCCUUUCCCUAUUCCCCAAGCUAUUUUUAAAUAUUUAAAUAAAGAUUGUUUUAUCACUUACUUGUUCUCGUGUUGUUUGGCCAUUGGGUUGGCUUUGGGGACCUCCUCGAGGUGGAAGUUGAAAAGGGGUGUGGCUUAGUCAAAGCAUAGCCGCCCCUGGGUGUGACAUUUGCAACCUGUGGAGUGCAUUGUCGAAGGACUAACAGAUGAGCAAACUGCAUACACACAUACAUAGACUUAAGAAGAUGCACACAACACUAGUGCAAAGAACAAUGGAUUAAGUUAUUAAGAGUUUAAGUAUUUAAAAGUUGCCUAAGAAGAGCGGUUGUAACGGUUCCCAGAGAAUUUUCAUUGUAAGGUUGUGCAUUUGCAACGUGUGUGUGAUAAGCGUUUAAUUUGUUUGCACACAUUUACUUUAAGAUUGCAAUUUAUACAUUUAAAGGUUUUAUUGAAUUUUCUAGAUUUCUAAAUGAGAAGUGUAUUGUAAAUGAUAUUGAUUUAUUUAUAUCAAUCUUUUCAAGGGUUUGAGAUGUUUAUAUUGAGUGUUUAAACAUAAUAUUUGAGUUGAAAGGUUAUCUUGAAC
Molecule: long non-coding RNA, 1885 nt
Organism: Carassius auratus (goldfish)
Lineage: Eukaryota; Metazoa; Chordata; Actinopteri; Cypriniformes; Cyprinidae
Source: Ensembl